GGGCCCGCACAAGCGGCGGAGCAUGCGGAUUAAUUCGAUGCAACGCGAAGAACCUUACCAAGGCUUGACAUAUAGAGGAAAAGUGCAGAAAUGCACUCCCCGCAAGGUCUCUAUACAGGUGGUGCAUGGUUGUCGUCAGCUCGUGUCGUGAGAUGUUGGGUUAAGUCCCGCAACGAGCGCAACCCUCGUCCUAUGUUGCCAGCACGUAAUGGUGGGAACUCAUGGGAUACUGCCGGUGAUAAACCGGAGGAAGGUGUGGAUGACGUCAAAUCAUCACGGCCCUUACGUCCUGGGCUUCACGCAUGCUACAAUGGCCGGUACAGAGGGCUGCAAUACCGCAAGGUGGAGCGAAUCCCAAAAAGCCGGUCUCAGUUCGGAUUGAGGUCUGCAACUCGACCUCAUG
Molecule: ribosomal RNA, 403 nt
Filed under: uncultured bacterium
Lineage: Bacteria
Description: bacterial SSU rRNA
Rfam family: Bacterial small subunit ribosomal RNA
Source: RNAcentral